RNAcentral lists this ribosomal RNA (234 nucleotides) under uncultured bacterium. RNAcentral describes it as "partial 16S ribosomal RNA". It matches the Rfam family "Bacterial small subunit ribosomal RNA", at positions 118 to 347 of the family's 1533-position model. The record is from RNAcentral.
UGAGCAAUCUGCCCUUCUCAUCGGAAUAAGCGUUGGAAACGACGUCUAAUGCCGAAUACGACCUCCUUUCGCAUGAUCGGAGGUGGAAAGCUCCGGCGGUGAAGGAUGAGCUCGCGGCCUAUCAGCUAGUUGGUGUGGGUAAUGGCCCACCAAAGCGACGACGGGUAGCCGGCCUGAGAGGGUGACCCGGCCACACGUGGGACUGAGACACGGCCCAGACUCCUACGGGNGCAG